Molecule: ribosomal RNA, 426 nt
Filed under: uncultured bacterium
Lineage: Bacteria
Description: bacterial SSU rRNA
Rfam family: Bacterial small subunit ribosomal RNA
Source: RNAcentral
GUGAGGAAUUUUCCGCAAUGGGCGAAAGCCUGACGGAGCAAUGCCGCGUGAAGGAUGAAGGCCUAUGGGUUGUAAACUUCUUUUCUCAGAAAAGAAUUAUGACGGUAUCUGAGGAAUAAGCAUCGGCUAACUCUGUGCCAGCAGCCGCGGUAAGACAGAGGAUGCAAGCGUUAUCCGGAAUGAUUGGGCGUAAAGCGUCUGUAGGUUGUUUAAAAAGUAUUCUGUCAAAGAUUAGGGCUUAACCCUAGAUAGGCAGAAUAAACUUUUAAGCUAGAGUUUGGUAGAGGCAGAGGGAAUUCCCGGUGGAGCGGUGAAAUGCGUAGAUAUCGGGAGGAACACCAAAGGCGAAGGCACUCUGCUGGGCCAAUACUAACACUGAGAGACGAAAGCGAGGGGAGCAAAUGGGAUUAGAUACCCUGGUAGUAC